This 443-nucleotide ribosomal RNA is filed under the name uncultured Erythrobacteraceae bacterium. RNAcentral's name for it is "bacterial SSU rRNA". It matches the Rfam family "Bacterial small subunit ribosomal RNA", at positions 338 to 798 of the family's 1533-position model. Lineage: Bacteria; Pseudomonadati; Pseudomonadota; Alphaproteobacteria; Sphingomonadales; Erythrobacteraceae. The record is from RNAcentral.
CCUACGGGUGGCUGCAGUGGGGAAUAUUGGACAAUGGGCGAAAGCCUGAUCCAGCAAUGCCGCGUGAGUGAUGAAGGCCUUAGGGUUGUAAAGCUCUUUUACCAGGGAUGAUAAUGACAGUACCUGGAGAAUAAGCUCCGGCUAACUCCGUGCCAGCAGCCGCGGUAAUACGGAGGGAGCUAGCGUUGUUCGGAAUUACUGGGCGUAAAGCGCACGUAGGCGGCGAUUCAAGUCAGAGGGGAAAGCCCGGGGCUCAAACCCGGAACUGCCUUUGAAACUAGAUUGCUAGAAUCCGGGAGAGGCGAGUGGAAUUCCGAGUGUAGAGGUGAAAUUCGUAGAUAUUCGGAAGAACACCAGUGGCGAAGGCGACUCGCUGGACAGGUAUUGACGCUGAGGUGCGAAAGCGUGGGGAGCAAACAGGAUUAGAUACCCUAGUAGUCCGG